This 443-nucleotide ribosomal RNA is filed under the name uncultured bacterium. Its description in RNAcentral is "partial 16S ribosomal RNA". It matches the Rfam family "Bacterial small subunit ribosomal RNA", at positions 338 to 795 of the family's 1533-position model. The record is from RNAcentral.
CCUACGGGCGGCAGCAGUGGGGGAUAUUGGACAAUGGGGGAAACCCUGAUCCAGCGACGCCGCGUGAGUGAAGAAGUAUUUCGGGUUGUAAAGCUCUAUCAGCAGGGAAGAAAAUAAUGACGUUACUUUAGAAAGAACCACCGCCGAACUAGUUGACAGCGGCCGCGUUAAAACGUAGGGGGCAGGCUUUCGCCGGAUUUACUGGGUGAAAAGGCAGCGUAGACGGUUUGGCAAGCCUGGGGUGAAAGGGGGGGGCUCAACCCCCGGACUGCUGUGGAAAUUGUUGGUCUGGAGUGCAGGAGAGGCAGGCGGAAUUCCUAGUGUAGCGGUGAAAUGCGUAGAUAUUAGGAGGAACACCAGUGGCGAAGGCGGCCUGCUGGACUGUAACUGACGUUGAGGCUCGAAAGCGUGGGGAGCAAACAGGAUUAGAUACCCGUGUAGUC